This 50-nucleotide transfer RNA is filed under the name Sarcophilus harrisii (Tasmanian devil). Its description in RNAcentral is "tRNA-Gly". The record is from RNAcentral. Lineage: Eukaryota; Metazoa; Chordata; Mammalia; Dasyuromorphia; Dasyuridae.
GUACUACUGAUUUCCAAUCAUUAAGUUCUGGGUAACACCAGAGAAAAAUA